GCGCUAAUCGUCUAGUGGUUAGGAUGGAUCCCUUCCAAGGAUUCGACCGGCGUUCGAAUCGCCGUUGGCGCA
This is a transfer RNA of Cryptococcus amylolentus CBS 6039, 72 nucleotides long. It matches the Rfam family "tRNA". From Rfam's summary of the family: Transfer RNA (tRNA) molecules are approximately 80 nucleotides in length. Lineage: Eukaryota; Fungi; Basidiomycota; Tremellomycetes; Tremellales; Cryptococcaceae. The record is from Rfam.